Molecule: ribosomal RNA, 223 nt
Filed under: uncultured bacterium
Lineage: Bacteria
Description: partial 16S ribosomal RNA
Rfam family: Bacterial small subunit ribosomal RNA
Source: RNAcentral
GACAGAGGGUGCAAACGUUGCUCGGAAUCACUGGGCGUAAAGGGCGUGUAGGCGGGAAGGAAAGUCGGGCGUGAAAUCCCUGGGCUCAACCCAGGAACUGCACUCGAAACUUCUUUUCUUGAGUGCCGGAGAGGAAAGCGGAAUUCCUGGUGUAGAGGUGAAAUUCGUAGAUAUCAGGAGGAACACCAGUGGCGAAAGGCGGCUUCUGGCCGGUAACUGACGC